UGGUCGCUCAGUAAUCAGUGUAGAUCCUGUAAUUCAAAUCAGCAGCUACAUCUGGCUACUGGGUCUCUA
Molecule: microRNA precursor, 69 nt
Filed under: Pelobates cultripes (western spadefoot toad)
Lineage: Eukaryota; Metazoa; Chordata; Amphibia; Anura; Pelobatidae
Rfam family: mir-221 microRNA precursor family (bases 8-68)
Source: RNAcentral